UGGGGAAUAUUGGGCAAUGGGCGGAAGCCUGACCCAGCAACGCCGCGUGAAGGAAGAAGGCUUUCGGGUUGUAAACUUCUUUUCUGAGGGACGAACAGAUGACGGUACCUUAGGAAUAAGCCACGGCUAACUACGUGCC
Molecule: ribosomal RNA, 139 nt
Filed under: uncultured bacterium
Lineage: Bacteria
Description: partial 16S ribosomal RNA
Rfam family: Bacterial small subunit ribosomal RNA
Source: RNAcentral